UGGUCGAACUAGUUGCUAUUAAUUAAAGUUAAUAGAGGAAACUCCACGCUCGCACAAUCUGCGAAGAUUGUAGUGUUUGUGCUAACCGAAACCAUAAGGUUAGGCAUAGGUGAACCUAUGACGGCUGGUAGCUAGCGCUAAGUUAAUGUGUUAAUAUGCGCCGUACCUAUAAAAGUGCCACAGUGACGAUGUUCUAAAGAAAUUUAGAAAGUGGAACGGGUAAACCCCACAAGCGAGAAACCUAAAUUUUGGUAAGGGAAUCUGUUCUUUUUAAAAAGGAAGAAAGAACGGAAUUUAAAUAGAAAUUAUUUAAAUAGAUAAAUAACUAGUGAUUUAUAGCAAUAUAAAUAACAGAACGUGGGUUAUGAGA
Non-coding RNA from Spiroplasma eriocheiris, 370 nucleotides. It matches the Rfam family "Bacterial RNase P class B". Rfam says of the family: Ribonuclease P (RNase P) is a ubiquitous endoribonuclease, found in archaea, bacteria and eukarya as well as chloroplasts and mitochondria. Its best characterised activity is the generation of mature 5'-ends of tRNAs by cleaving the 5'-leader elements of precursor-tRNAs. The record is from Rfam. NCBI's taxonomy places the organism in Bacteria, Bacillati, Mycoplasmatota, Mollicutes, Entomoplasmatales, Spiroplasmataceae.